This 1121-nucleotide ribosomal RNA is filed under the name Escherichia coli. RNAcentral describes it as "partial 23S ribosomal RNA". It matches the Rfam family "Bacterial large subunit ribosomal RNA", at positions 1 to 1154 of the family's 2925-position model. The record is from RNAcentral. Lineage: Bacteria; Pseudomonadati; Pseudomonadota; Gammaproteobacteria; Enterobacterales; Enterobacteriaceae.
GGGUUGUGAGGUUAAGCGACUAAGCGUACACGGUGGAUGCCCUGGCAGUCAGAGGCGAUGAAGGACGUGCUAAUCUGCGAUAAGCGUCGGUGAGGUGAUAUGAACCGUUAUAACCGGCGAUUUCCGAAUGGGGAAACCCAGUGUGUUUCGACACACUAUCAUUAACUGAAUCCAUAGGUUAAUGAGGCGAACCGGGGGAACUGAAACAUCUAAGUACCCCGAGGAAAAGAAAUCAACCGAGAUUCCCCCAGUAGCGGCGAGCGAACGGGGAGGAGCCCAGAGCCUGAAUCAGUGUGUGUGUUAGUGGAAGCGUCUGGAAAGGCGUGCGAUACAGGGUGACAGCCCCGUACACAAAAAUGCACAUAUUGUGAGCUCGAUGAGUAGGGCGGGACACGUGGUAUCCUGUCUGAAUAUGGGGGGACCAUCCUCCAAGGCUAAAUACUCCUGACUGACCGAUAGUGAACCAGUACCGUGAGGGAAAGGCGAAAAGAACCCCGGCGAGGGGAGUGAAAAAGAACCUGAAACCGUGUACGUACAAGCAGUGGGAGCCUCUUAAUGGGGUGACUGCGUACCUUUUGUAUAAUGGGUCAGCGACUUAUAUUCUGUAGCAAGGUUAACCGAAUAGGGGAGCCGAAGGGAAACCGAGUCUUAACUGGGCGUUAAGUUGCAGGGUAUAGACCCGAAACCCGGUGAUCUAGCCAUGGGCAGGUUGAAGGUUGGGUAACACUAACUGGAGGACCGAACCGACUAAUGUUGAAAAAUUAGCGGAUGACUUGUGGCUGGGGGUGAAAGGCCAAUCAAACCGGGAGAUAGCUGGUUCUCCCCGAAAGCUAUUUAGGUAGCGCCUCGUGAAUUCAUCUCCGGGGGUAGAGCACUGUUUCGGCAAGGGGGUCAUCCCGACUUACCAACCCGAUGCAAACUGCGAAUACCGGAGAAUGUUAUCACGGGAGACACACGGCGGGUGCUAACGUCCGUCGUGAAGAGGGAAACAACCCAGACCGCCAGCUAAGGUCCCAAAGUCAUGGUUAAGUGGGAAACGAUGUGGGAAGGCCCAGACAGCCAGGAUGUUGGCUUAGAAGCAGCCAUCAUUUAAAGAAAGCGUAAUAGCUCACUGGUCGAGU